UAAAGUAAAUAAAAUUAAAAAUUCAAUUCUUUAGUUGCUCUAGUCACACAUUUCCAGAGUUCAGUGGCUACUUUUAUGUGACUAGUGGCUACCAUAUUAGGAUAGAACAUUUCUAUUAUUGCAUAAAGUUCUGCACAACACCAACAUUGAGUAAGAGCAUGACUCAAAACCUAGCUUCCAAAUCUAGCUCUGCACCUUGCUAGUUUUGCAUUAAAGGUCAGGCUACUUAACUUCUCUGUGCCUCAGUUGCUAUGUCUGUAAACUGAGGCUAGUUGAGGCAGCUCCUCAUAGGGUUCAGGUGAAGAUAAAUGGGACACUCUUUUUGUAAAUUUCCUAGCAUUGUGCUGGCACAUCAUGAGCUCUCAAUAUGGUUUCCCUGAAGGGGGAAAGAUUAUGUGAUUUUCUAAACAUUUUGUCAUCUCCUUUUAUCCCCUGAUAUUUUUAUUUGGGGAGCAUGGGAAGGAGUUUGAAGCAGGACAAGGGGGAACCUGAUUGUUUAUAUUUGGAACACUUUAUGGAGGCAAGGAGUCCUAUGUUAACUUCACUGUUCAUUUUUCAGUUCUUUACAGACAAAUGCACCUGCUUAUCAUAUGUACCCAGGGUAGACCACUCCUCCCACCUCAUACCUCUUUGUAUGUCACUGGGAGUUGGGUUUGUUGGGGUAAGUUACUCUUGAAUGAUCCUCUGAGUCUCUCUUAGAAGCUCUCCAAAGUACUCUGGUCCCCAGCCUGUAUUCUUCACUGGUAUACUACCUACACUGAGUUCCAGGGAGACACAGAGGUAGUCUUGGGCUUUCCAUGAGUUUUGGGAAAGGAGCGUCACAAAUGGAGCCAAGCACUCUCACUCCAGGUCUGGAGUUCUUCUGCUCUGGACUGGAAACCUGGCUGGGAGAGAGACUUUCUUCAGGAUCUGAAUGAUGCCUUAGAGUCAACAGACCAUCUAAGUUGAACCAAAAGGCAUGGAUCACAGGGCUGGAGGAAUCUUCUUGGAGUUUUUGUCACUUUUGGGCAGUUGAUAGCAGGCUGACUUGAACAUUGUACCAACUAAAGACAAAACCAGGAGGCUGAUACCUGCCCCACUCCUAGCCCACUGCCCUUUCCCUGACCUCCCCAGGGCAAAGAAAGGAGGAUCUCCUGCUAAUUUUCAACUGUGUUUUGCUCUCUGUUAUGUAGUAUUUCAGUGACAGGAUCCACUCAGGAGAGUUGGGGCAAGGCUGGCUAAGUUUCUCAAGGAGCUGAGUUUUGAGAUCAGGUGCCCGAAUGGAAUGAUGCUUCCUGACCUUUCAGACCUUUGAGACUUCUGGGCAGUCUUAGAAAUCGCUUCAAGCCUCCUGUCCAAGAUACGUCUGCCUAGGGGAGUUCCAGGGAAAGGUGGCAGAGAUACCAUGUAUUACAAGAUGAUGGAUGCUAUGAUGAGCUCACUAUGGGUUCUUGAAGAUUCCAAGCCACUGACUAUUCUGAAGCACAGAGACACCCUUCCAGUGAAGCUGCAGGAAGCAAGGUAGAAGGAGGCCCUGCUUUUUGGCCAAAGUAUGGACCACCUUUUCCGAUGACCUGGGGAGCUGCUGGAGGACAGUGAGGAAGAUGCUGCUGGGCCCCACGACAGAAACACAGCAGCUGGAACCACGAACCAUUUAGUGUGGGAUUCAAGCUCAGCAUCCCUUCAGACUGAGGCUCACUGAGCUACACUAAUGAAUUGGAUUCUUUUUGCUUUGCUGUCAACUCCAUAACACCCAAUUCUAAAUG
Long non-coding RNA from Choloepus didactylus (southern two-toed sloth), 1745 nucleotides. RefSeq lists it as uncharacterized. Lineage: Eukaryota; Metazoa; Chordata; Mammalia; Pilosa; Megalonychidae. The record is from RefSeq and is a predicted model, not a curated record. The transcript has 3 exons.